AUGAGGGGACAUCCUCCACAAAUAUUGGGAAUUAUGGUCUAUAAGAGGACAUAAGGGAUAACCAUUUCUUUCAUCCAAAACACUAAACACAAAAUUCCACUAUCUCUUUCUCCACUUGUUGAGUUCGGCCGAAACCCAACACCCACCCACCAUCACUUUCAAGUUUGAUUCUUGUAAUUUUUCAUAUACACAAGGGUGAAGGGUCACACACAAGGAGGCUUGGUGCUUACGGAAUCACAAGGACCUCACUACAUCGCUAUUAACCAUCCAUUUUUCGUCUAGUUUCUUCCCUAGCCUCGAGCUAGUAGUUACGACGUUAAUUAAGCAAAUCCGGUGAAGUUUACGACGCACAGGAACGCAAAGUUGUGAGUUCAUGCUCCCCCUUUUCUCUUAACCGUUUUCAGUUUUAUAACUUCGGGGGUGAAAUACAUGUUACAAAUAUUUUUAUGUUUACAAAUGGUAUGAUAAAAAGAAACACACUUGGUGAGAACGAGUACCAAGUGUGAUGAGAUAUAAGAAUACAAGAAGCGCGCUUGGUGAGAACGAGAACCAAGUAGGAUGCGUUAUGAGAAAUGAUACGAGAAAUCGUGUCACGAAUAGGGUACAUAAGCACCAUUAAUCAACAAUAUACCUAGACCGCAGAACAAAAGGUUAGAUCUAACGGGUGCCGGGCAGCCACACUCUCGGUGAGGGCGAGAAUCGAGUAGUGCUUUUGUGUCUCAGAAUAUACCAAUUAAAUGCCUAAGGUUUGGUGACUUCCUAUGUCGUGUCACAUGUUAAUGGCUUUGCAACCCAUUAACAAUCCUGAUACUUACAGGAAUACUUUAUUUACAUAAAAUUCAUACCAUACUAAAACUUGAUGAAUACUUGAGUACGUGGGGUACUCAAGAAAAGCUUGAAUUAUACUUGAAGUACGUGGGGUACUCAAGAAAAUGGGAAUUAUACUUGAGUACGUGGGGUACUCAAGAAGAAUUUGAAUUAUUCAUGAGUACGUGGUGUACACACGAAACUGGAUUUAUAUAUAUGAAAACUUGAUUUAUUUACAAACUAUGUUUUCAUACAAAGUAUACAAACGUGAAAUACAAAACUGCAUGAAUUCACACCAACAUUAUGUUGACGUUUUUCCAAAACUCACAUGUAUUUCAGGUAACUAGGAUGGAUGUGCGCGUGAUCUUACUUAUGCUCGUGGAUGUCGCUUAUGUUUAUCUUUAAAUAAAGUUGUAAACUUUUAAGACAAUGUUUUAUGCGACCUAGCGAUGUAAACGCUAAACGUAUGUUUCAAAUUAUGGUAUUUGAAGUUAUUUUCAUGAGCAUGUAGUAUGUUUACCUUUCGUAU
RNAcentral lists this long non-coding RNA (1336 nucleotides) under Helianthus annuus (common sunflower). RNAcentral's name for it is "hypothetical non coding rna". Lineage: Eukaryota; Viridiplantae; Streptophyta; Magnoliopsida; Asterales; Asteraceae. The record is from RNAcentral.